Transfer RNA from Dictyostelium purpureum, 71 nucleotides. It matches the Rfam family "tRNA". From Rfam's summary of the family: Transfer RNA (tRNA) molecules are approximately 80 nucleotides in length. The record is from Rfam. Lineage: Eukaryota; Evosea; Eumycetozoa; Dictyosteliales; Dictyosteliaceae.
GCCGUGAUAGUAUAGUGGUAGUACAUAGCAUUGUGGCUGCUUUGACCCUGGUUCGAUUCCAGGUCGCGGCA